Molecule: long non-coding RNA, 1736 nt
Filed under: Homo sapiens (human)
Lineage: Eukaryota; Metazoa; Chordata; Mammalia; Primates; Hominidae
Description: HSALNT0353879
Source: RNAcentral
UCAGACCUAGGCUCUCGCAGAGAACUGCAUCGCGCUCCCAGCUCUGCUGCCUCGGUGCGGGGACGGGGCUCUGCAUGAGGACUGGGAAUAGACCUUCACUGCUUCUAUCAGUCACCAUAUCUGAAUCUUGGCUUGCCACUCAAUCCUCCAAUAUCGACCAACAACAGGAGAUUCUCUCUAUCUGAGGGGGGAGGUGUGUUUCCCUGACUAGACUCUAAAUACAAAUCCUCCACUUCUCCAUCUGUCUCUCCAGUGAUCUCAGAGGCAUGGUCUUAACACCGCGCACAGUUCCUUGCAAGUUGAAGAGUAGACCCAAAUGAUCAGUUCUAAAAUUCUAUUCUUAUUGAAGAUUACUGGUGGAAAUAUCAAUGCAAACAAAAUGAAAAAGUUCAACAAUGAUUAAUACUGCAUUUCAACAGAAGAAUCAAAUCAUCUUGACAAAACUUCAAUGGGCAAAAUUUGCCUUGGGGAAUUUUAUGCAGGGGAAUCCUUGGGUCUGAUGUGUGGUGGGCUUUGGAUGUGUUGUGUAGCUCAGUGUCCCUUCCUGCUACUCCUAGUCAUCUCCAGAAACUCAGACCACCCAUCUACUAAAGGCAGGUGGAUGAGCAAGGGGGCCUCGGAGGCAUUCCGGAUCACACUGAACCUGAGCCCCACCGCCUGACCCACUCAGUGUCACUGUUAACAGAAACUCGCUGCCAUCUGGCCUCAGGCCUGCCUCCUUCCUAUAGAACUUGACACUGGAAGCACCAGGCGAGCUGGACCUUCUGCUGCUACUGCACUCCCAUGAUGCAGCCUGAGAAUGAAGCCCACCAGAGUGACAGAGAGCAGACCUGAGUGGUGAGCUGGUGACACAGGGUGUGGGUGGUGUCCCUUGAGCUUCGACACCACGCCACACCUGAAACCAGCCUGACAUCCAUGAUUUUGCUUUUUUGCUUAAACCAGUCUGCGUCAUUUUCAACAAAAGAGUUCUACUAGAUAUGACAAAUUUCUCUAGAAGACCUAAGAAGUGAAAGACUUGAAGCUAUUCCAGUGGUUCAGGAACUAGGACACUGGUAGGAAACUGGAAAGAAGGCAUCAGAGUUAAGGAAAUAUUUAUGAGGUCAACUCUGGAAGUCUUGGUUACUGAGUGAAUACAGUGGCUGAGAGGAAUGGAAGCAUCCAACCAAAUAAAAAAAGAUGGUGCUGAGAUUUGGGUUAUGAGGUCAAUGACUGAAGCAAUGCGAUUAACUGAGUUAGGAGUCUCAAAUAUAGGAUGAGUGCAGAGUUGAGGAUGAAGAAUUCUGCUUUGGACACAAUGAGUGUGAGGUGCCCAAGGAUAACCCAACGGGAAGCAGUCACACCAAAGCAACAGGGUGUGCACCUGAAACUCAGAAGGGUGAUUGGGCUAUGGUGAAGAUUCCUGAUCACCCAUAAAUGAAUUCAUUAAAAGCAUGAGAGUGAGUGGAGGGGCCCCUAGAAUAUGGUGGGUGCAUGAGACUAACCCUAGAUUGGGGAUAGCUCCCUGGGAAAUCCAAGGGACAAGGUGAGGAGGAGGAGGCGGAGCCCACCAAGGAAACUAGAAAGAGACCGCUGGAGAGGUCCGAGGACAGCAAGGAGCACAGCCUUCAAGUCUGGGAGCCAACUAUCCAAGAAGAGAGUGGUUUGCUAUGGAUGCCGUGGGCCACCACGUCCCAUCUAGGAAAGCAAGUUGAGGUCUCUCUUGAAUACAUUGGGAUUGAUUACCCAGACUUUAAAGA